This 429-nucleotide ribosomal RNA is filed under the name Chloroflexota bacterium. RNAcentral's name for it is "Chloroflexi bacterium partial 16S ribosomal RNA". It matches the Rfam family "Bacterial small subunit ribosomal RNA", at positions 355 to 776 of the family's 1533-position model. Lineage: Bacteria; Bacillati; Chloroflexota. The record is from RNAcentral.
UGGGGAAUAUUGCACAAUGGGCGCAAGCCUGAUGCAGCCAUGCCGCGUGUGUGAAGAAGGCCUUCGGGUUGUAAAGCACUUUCAGCGGGGAGGAAGGCGUUAAGGUUAAUAACCUUGGCGAUUGACGUUACCCGCAGAAGAAGCACCGGCUAACUCCGUGCCAGCAGCCGCGGUAAUACGGAGGGUGCAAGCGUUAAUCGGAAUUACUGGGCGUAAAGCGCACGCAGGCGGUCUGUCAAGUCGGAUGUGAAAUCCCCGGGCUCAACCUGGGAACUGCAUUCGAUACUGGCAAGCUUGAGUCUCGUAGAGGGGGGUAGAAUUCCAGGUGUAGCGGUGAAAUGCGUAGAGAUCUGGAGGAAUACCGGUGGCGAAGGCGGCCCCCUGGACGAAGACUGACGCUCAGGUGCGAAAGCGUGGGGAGCAAACAGG